Molecule: ribosomal RNA, 433 nt
Filed under: uncultured bacterium
Lineage: Bacteria
Description: partial 16S ribosomal RNA
Rfam family: Bacterial small subunit ribosomal RNA
Source: RNAcentral
AACGAACGCUGGCGGCAUGCCUAACACAUGCAAGUCGAACGAGACCUUCGGGUCUAGUGGCGCACGGGUGCGUAACGCGUGGGAACCUGCCCUUGGGUUCGUAAUACCUCCCCGAAAGGGGUGCUAAUACCGGAUAGUGUCUUCGGACCAAAGAUUUAUCGCCUUUGGAUGGGCCCGCGUUGGAUUAGCUAGUUGGUAGGGUAAAAGCCUACCAAGGCGACGAUCCAUAGCUGGUCUGAGAGGAUGAUCAGCCACACUGGGACUGAGACACGGCCCAGACUCCUACGGGAGGCAGCAGUGGGGAAUAUUGGACAAUGGGCGAAAGCCUGAUCCAGCAAUGCCGCGUGAGUGAUGAAGGCCUUAGGGUUGUAAAGCUCUUUUACCCGGGAUGAUAAUGACAGUACCGGGAGAAUAAGCUCCGGCUAACUCCGUG